This is a long non-coding RNA of Scatophagus argus, 380 nucleotides long. RefSeq lists it as uncharacterized. The transcript is spliced from 2 exons. NCBI's taxonomy places the organism in Eukaryota, Metazoa, Chordata, Actinopteri, Scatophagidae. The record is from RefSeq and is a predicted model, not a curated record.
CUCUUGUGCAAUUUAAAACAAUAAACCAAACGUGAGCGGCUGUCGGUUCUCAACAUAAUAGACUUUAUCAGGAAACAUGUCUCACAGCCGAAUAAACUUUUCGGACAAGUACAACGACGACCAUGAGUACAGGAAGUGGCUCAAUGUGUUCCCCGAUUGCGUCUGAUGUCUGAAGACAAGUGGAGACCAUCGGGACUGCAGCUGUCCCAGGAUGGAUCCACGACAUGAUCCGCGCACCAGGCACUGAAUGCAAUAACUGGGACCCGCAAACAUCACGCUGCUCACUUUGGAGUGCAAAAAGUAGCGCUCAGUAGUCCUUAAACAACAUGAUUCAAGCAGCAAACUCACUGUGCCAAAAUUAAGAAAGAAACUUUGAAACA